Molecule: ribosomal RNA, 418 nt
Filed under: uncultured eukaryote
Lineage: Eukaryota
Description: SSU rRNA
Rfam family: Eukaryotic small subunit ribosomal RNA
Source: RNAcentral
AGCUCCAAUAGCGUAUAUUAAAGUUGUUGCAGUUAAAAAGCUCGUAGUCGGAUUUCGGGUCGGGCCGAGCGGUCUGCCGAUGGGUAUGCACUGUUUGGCGCGGCCUUCUUUCCGGAGACCGCGGCUACUCUUAACUGAGCGGGCGUGGGAGACGGAUCGUUUACUUUGAAAAAAUCAGAGUGUUUCAAGCAGGCAGCUCGCUCUUGCAUGGAUUAGCAUGGGCCUACCCAUCUUUACUUUUUUUCGAUAAUUGAAUAGGAUAAUUGAAUAGGACUCUGGUGCUAUUUUGUUGGUUUCGAACACCGGAGUAAUGAUUAACAGGGACAGUCAGGGGCACUCGUAUUCCGUCGAGAGAGGUGAAAUUCUCAGACCAAUGGAAGACGAACCACUGCGAAAGCAUUUGCCAGGGAUGUUUUCA